AGUUUCUCCACCUGAUUGCCCAUCACGCUGCGGAUGUACGUUCACACGGCCGCGAGGGGAGAAAGCGAAACCACCACUAGGGUCAUUGGCACAGGUCCCCGGACAGGGGCUGAGACCACCUGUUGGAAGAGGAAAGCAAGGAAGCCAUGUGGGAGCCCCUCCGUGAAAAGGCCGACUUCUUAAGAAAAGGAAGAAUGGCUGGGGGGCGAGCAGCUGGAGCCAUUUUACGGGGAGGCUCGGAUGCGGCCAGCCUUCCCUCAUUUCUUCCACCUCUAGGGUCGCGGUCACAGGAGGCCGGGCAACUCUAGCUCUACGCCGCCCCCAGCACUUCACCUCGCCCAGGCAAGAGCCCAUUGCAUCAGCAGCUCCAACGGCUUCCGCCGGGGCCCUACCUGCCGAGCCCAGGCAGGAGGGAGUAAAGAAGAGAAACUUUACUCCAAACCCCCCUUUUCUUCAUCUUCCUUUCACCCCAGGGCCAUAACUCAGCGCCUGAGACGCCCCCCGAGCCUCCACCCUCGGGGAAACCGGCGAGGACCCCGCAGCUCGGCCGGGGCAGGUGAGCCACCCUACCUGGCUCACCUGCGGCGCUCUCUCCACCCGUCUCGCCCGCCCCUCCCCCGCAAGCCGGCCCUACGGCUUCGGGUUACCGGCGAAAACUCACCCGCAGAGAGGUGGAGGCCUUGGGGAAUUUACCCCUCCCUCCCCCGCGCCCCCAGCCGCACCUGGAGACUUCUAGGGGAAUCUCUCGUGGAUCCACAGAGGGGCUUCCAUUCCCCUGUAGAGUGCUGAUGGGGUUUCGGAGUGAUGGGGGUCCAGAGCUGAUGGCCGAGGAAGAAUUGUUGAGACGUCUUUGUGCAAAACAGAUGAAAACCAGUGUGUCCGCUGGUGAGACCACCGUUUCUGGGAGCCGGAGCCGGGAAAAGGCAGCAGACAAAGGGAACAGUCAGCCAAGUAGAGUUUGCUGGAGAUUUACAUGGAAACCUCCAGACAGAUGCAGGGCUGCUGGAUUUAUAAGGAGGGUGAGAUAAUUUGUUCUUGUGUGCUUAGAUAAGGGUAAACAAAUUUCAUGCUGUGAUGUAAGCCCCUAUCUGCAGAAGUCAGGAAAGAUUCCCUGCCCUGCUGCCGCAUCCCGUGCUUGACAAAUCAUCCUCAGAGACUAUUUCUCUGGAGCCUUCAUCUAGCGGUCAUGUGGGGGCCUGAGUAUAAAAGAUGGAAGGACAGGCCUGGGUGCAGAGGAGGGAGACUCUUGUGUUCCUAUGCAUCUGGAAGCCCAGAAAUGGAAGUGGUCACAGUGCUGGGGUGGCAUCGAGUAGUAGCUCCGUGGGAUCCGUGGGCAUGAUUGAGGAGUACAUGCCUGGAAAUGUGUGUGCCUGUUUCACCUUGAGCUUGGCCUUGGUCCGGCAGUCACCUACACCUUGGGUCUGCCCGGAGUACCGUCAACAGCAGGUGAAAGAGGGAAAUGGCUGUGUUAGUACAUGAGCCGGAGAGAAGAGGGAGUAACUACGUUAUGGUACCAGUUCACUGAUCAGGACUCUUCAGGUCACAAGGGACAGAAAUCUAACUUCUAUAUCUUACAAUCGGAUCUGACUGUGUGAAACAGCAGCUCACUUUAAACAGUGUCUUGAAACCAGUGCUUUUCUGGUACAGCAACAAUUCUGGAGGCUAGAUGGUCACUGGCAUUGCUUUAGCAACUCAACAAUAUCAGGUUGGCAACUCAGCUGGGAGACUCACCUGUGCUCCAUGUGGUGUCAGCUAGGCUUAGUGUGACAUCUGUGACCUUAGCCAGAUGGCUGGCAUGGCUGUGAGCUUUGAGACACCUGGGAUCUUCACAUGGUUUCUCGUCCCAGAGAGGCACAGGUUAUGAACCGUUGAGCAGCACACCACUCUAAAACAGGGAGAAAUAAACAACCCCCCUUUCAUUUGCUCACAA
Long non-coding RNA from Suricata suricatta (meerkat), 1930 nucleotides. RefSeq lists it as uncharacterized. Lineage: Eukaryota; Metazoa; Chordata; Mammalia; Carnivora; Herpestidae. The transcript has 5 exons. The record is from RefSeq and is a predicted model, not a curated record.